RNAcentral lists this transfer-messenger RNA (346 nucleotides) under bovine gut metagenome. It matches the Rfam family "transfer-messenger RNA". Rfam says of the family: Bacterial tmRNA, also known as 10Sa RNA or SsrA, is named for its dual tRNA and mRNA-like properties. Its role is to liberate the mRNA from a stalled ribosome. The record is from RNAcentral.
GGGGGCGACCAGUUUUGACAGAUAACUCUGAGGCUUGCUUGCAGGUAGCGGUUGACCAGGCCGCUUAAAAUAGGGUCACAACAAUAGUUGGCAACAACUACAACAACAACGUUUGGGCUACUGCCUAAACCCGAUGCUUUUGUAUUGACGGGAUGCAAAAGCAAUCGGUCAAUAAUCCGUCUGCUGCAAAAAAGGUUAGUUUGGCCUAAUUUUGCAUAAGAUAAAGCAAACAAGUAAAGCAGCAGCGGCUCCGGGCAAGCGGCUUUACUAUAAUACCGGGGCUAAACCUGUAGUAAGUAAGUUAUAAGGUUGUUUGGACGCGGGUGCGAAUCCCGCCGCCUCCACU